UGAGGAAUAUUGGUCAAUGGGCGAAAGCCUGAACCAGCCAUGUCGCGUGCAGGAAGACGGCCCUAUGGGUUGUAAACUGCUUUUGUAUGGGAAGAAACGACGGUACGAGUACUGUUUUGCCGGUACCAUACGAAUAAGGAUCGGCUAACUCCGUGCCAGCAGCCGCGGUAAUACGGAGGAUCCAAGCGUUAUCCGGAUUUAUUGGGUUUAAAGGGUGCGUAGGCGGGAGAUUAAGUCAGUGGUGAAAGUUUGCGGCUCAACCGUAAAAUUGCCAUUGAUACUGGUUUUCUUGAGUACAGUUGAGGUAGGCGGAAUGUGGUGUGUAGCGGUGAAAUGCUUAGAUAUACCACAGAACACCGAUUGCGAAGGCAGCUUACUAAGUUGUGACUGACGCUGAAGCACGAAAGCAUGGGGAUCAAACAGGAUUAGAUACCCUGGUAGUCCAUGCCGUAAACGAUGAUCACUAGCUGUUUGCGAUAUAUUGUAAGUGGCAAAGGGAAACCAUUAAGUGAUCCACCUGGGGAGUACGCCCGCAAGGGUG
RNAcentral lists this ribosomal RNA (541 nucleotides) under uncultured bacterium. RNAcentral's name for it is "bacterial SSU rRNA". It matches the Rfam family "Bacterial small subunit ribosomal RNA", at positions 355 to 896 of the family's 1533-position model. The record is from RNAcentral.